AGACCGUGGUGUGGACAACAUCUUAACAAGUCCUUGUACCUCUCCCAGGCAUUGUACAUGCUCUCGUCGUCCAUCUGCACAAAAGAAGAAAUGUAAUUUCUCAAUUU
Molecule: non-coding RNA, 107 nt
Organism: Ricinus communis (castor bean)
Lineage: Eukaryota; Viridiplantae; Streptophyta; Magnoliopsida; Malpighiales; Euphorbiaceae
Source: Rfam